CCCCUCCCUCCCUGUCUCCUCAGAGCGAGCACGGUGAUGUGAUUUUGCAUUUCCGCUUUUCUUUUCUCGGCCCUUUCGCUGUUUCUGCUAACGGUGCCUUGCACCUCUGCAGACCCGUCCCAGCUCACGCGUACACACACAUAUAUAUGUGCAUAGGUACGCCGGUACGAUCCCCCUCCCCUCCGCCGUCUGACAUCCACGGAUGUUCCCUCGCCCGCGCUGUGGCUCAUACAGAAAAGCUAAGUCGAGAGCUCACGCCCUACUGCGCAGGUGUGUGAGCCCUGCUGUACAGAGAGAGAGAGAGCAAAGACGGAAGAGAGAUAAGGAUCAGGCUUGCAAGCUCGUAUUGCGGCUGUUUUGGGUGGCCUGCGAACGUCUUGUGGCUCGUGGUGCUUCUACCCCGCGCGCUUGAGUGCUGGUGCACGUUCCUCUUUGUUGCGUCGCCGUCGUCGUCUCUCGAUCGCCACACACCCAAGCGCACACGCGGACGUGUACAGACACGCACACGCACACACGCAGCCGAGGCGCCCAAGUAUUCGUCCUGAGCGUGAAGAAGAUAACAGCUGAAACGAAGACGAUACGUGUGCGGCCUUCAUACCAAGUCCAGCCCGCGUGUGUCAUACCACGCACCUACCCGGAGGGGGUGCGUUGCUUUUAUCCCUUGUGGUUCUCCUUCCUCCUUCGUGCCCAUCCCCCUCUCCCAUCCACCAACCCUCCCCGUACAUACGUUAUAUAGAACGAGAGGGAAGAGAAGAACUCUUUUUCAGUAGCUGUACACCUCCCUACUCCCUAACUCCUUUUCCUGCAGGUGUGUGUGUGUGUGUGUGUGUGUCAGAGUCUUCCGAGGUCGUCCUACCAUUGCUUGAUACGUCAUCAUUUCUUUGCUUGCCUGCUUCCUUCGCUGUGUGUGUCCUUCAUUCUCUCUCUCUGUGUAUAGCUGUACGGUAGUUCUUUCUCGUGUCUCUCUUCUCCAUUUCGUCAGCCCUUCCACAUGUACUCUUUUUCUCCCGUGAUGCCCAGCAAGACCGCCGCUUCGCCAGCCAACGAGCUCGUCAGCAGCAGCAGCAACAGCAGUGUGGAGUUGGUCGACGACAUCAGGGAGUCGCUCGACCGCAUCGAAAAACUCCUCAACCGCGGUCAGCAGCUGCUGUACGGUGAUAACGCGGCCGAUGGCAAGCAGGCGUACAGCAAGGGGGCCGCGGUGUCCCCGGACGGAGAGCCUGCGGACGCAGACGCUGUCUCGAUCCCGACCGCGCGGCACGUAGACGCCAACUGCGGCUCCUACCAGCUGCCGUCUGGCAUGCAUGUCGGCCUCCCCCUGCGCGGCACUGGCACCAGUGCCGCCGCAAACGCGUCCUUUUACCCGCAGAGCACCCCCCAGCACCCGGCAAGCCGCUUUCAGAGAAAUUCAGAAAAAUUGUGCCAGCGCUUGUCGGGGGAAAGCAACCACCGUUACCCGUUGCAGAACGGCUCGAACCGCAGUAGCCUCCACGCCCGCCCGCGUGCGAGCCCGGCGUCGAUGGGCAGCAAACGUCUACCGCCGGGCUUCAAGAAGGACAAAGUGCUGGUCUCCGUGCGUGGACGGCGGAUCGUUCAGAUCCAGAAGGAAGGCGGCAUUGUGCCUAAUUUUGAAGAGGGCCUCGACGCUCAUGACACGCCGCAGAACUUUACCAUCGAAGAGCUGAAGGAGCGCAUCCGCCGUGAACUGGAGGAGUACCGACGCUUGGGCCCCCUCAUGCACCGCUACGAGUCGUUCCGGCGCCGGCAAUGCGUCACUGUCGCCAAGCGUGCGCCGAUCAUGAAGAUUGCUUCGAGAACAUUCACUGCGGCAACGACGGCAGCGCUUGGGAGCAAGCCAGUGAAGCACGUCCCCGCACUAGCCUCUGGGGCCACGCCGCAGAGGGCGGCCAACCGCUUCGGCGUCCAUGCCGCGGCGGCCACAACGAAAUCUGGGCCACAAGCGGCCUCCGCGUCCAGGCAGGCGGCGAAGAGCACUAACGGCACCCCGGUGCGCAGCACGCUACGGAACUCGCACGAGAAGGGCCGCGUGGAGACGAGGCGUGCCAACCGGGAAUCGCACCCCCCUGUGAUGGCGCCGCCGGUGAGCAACACGUACAGCACCUACUACAACCCCCUGCAGAUGAGCGCGGGCAGCCGCAGUGCGCCGUGCGAGCUCUCGUCGAAGCAGACGGCCGGGUGCAGCUACGUCGUGCCGCCGCAUGCGAGCAAUGUGUCAACGCGCAAGCCCCGCUCCCCCUCGGCCGCGGCCGUGUCAAAGUCAUCGACGACGACCAGCGAGCUGGCCACUGAGGAGCCGGCGCGCGUAGAAUCCCUGUCGGGCCCCUUCAUGGACAACAAGGUGCACAGCACAAGCACGCAGCUCUCGGCGAACGCUUCACCUGCGCAGCUGAAGCCGCCCACCCGCACUACUGAGCCCCAAGACGACAUGGAGGAGGUCAGCUUGCCAGACAGCAUGGAGGACUGCGACGUCUCGCAGCCCUACGUUGCACCACUGGAUCUCAGCGUGAUCAAGAAGUAGGAGGUAUGGCAACGCACAUGCAAUGGCCUGACAAGCGCCAAAGCGGGUUGCGACCCCAUUUUCGGGAUCAUAUCAACCGUGAGUUUGUAGUGCCUCUGUUGCGUCAGCACGGACAGAAAGAAAACAUAUGAAGUUUUGCUGGGUUAUGCAUGUACAUAGGUGCCUGCCUCUCUGUGUCUGUGUCUGUGUGUGUGCGUGUGCGUGUGUUGUUUCCUUUCCCCCAUCCUUUUAUUCCGUGUCUUUGCGUUUCUCGCUAAGGUGAUUCCCUCAGUUGGCUUCAUUGCCCUCCCUCCCCCUCUCUCGUGGUGUGUUGCGGGUGCAUCCCUUUGGAGUUGGACGAGAAAGAUCGGGGGAAAGAGAGUAACUGCAAAGGGAAAGGAGAGACGAGUUAUCUCGUUCUGCUUCUGCCUUCGUUUACCUGUUCCUUCUCUGUUUCCCCCUCUCUCUCCCCCCCUCUUCACGUACUGUUUUUGUGGCGUUGCUCUGUGUGUGUGUGUGUGUGUGUGCAGGGCGAGAAAGCAUGGUCCUGUCUGUGUUCACCGCAAGCCAAUGUGUGGCGUCGGAAAGGAGCAGCGGAAGGCAGACGACCCCCCUCUCACUCUGCAGGACAGCCCUCCGCUUCCCGCACGCGCCUCCUCUCCCUCUCCCCCUCCCCUGUCCCUUUUUCUUCGCAUUGGUCUCUCCAAAGUGCGGGCAAGCCGGCGUUCAUGACGGCAUCGUGGGAGAUCGCGUCGCUCCUUUGCCACGCAAGCGCGUGCAUGUUAUCGGAUGCCUUCGGAAGCAUCGAGUUGAAAAGAUGCAACCAAACACGCCACGACGCCCGUUCAGGGGCCAACCAGCGACACGCCGC
RNAcentral lists this unclassified non-coding RNA (3389 nucleotides) under Leishmania donovani. RNAcentral describes it as "gene:LdHU3.09.0900(CDS-product:hypothetical_prote in_conserved)". The record is from RNAcentral. Lineage: Eukaryota; Euglenozoa; Kinetoplastea; Trypanosomatida; Trypanosomatidae.